This 447-nucleotide long non-coding RNA is filed under the name Prunus dulcis (almond). RNAcentral's name for it is "sRNA ncRNA". The record is from RNAcentral. Lineage: Eukaryota; Viridiplantae; Streptophyta; Magnoliopsida; Rosales; Rosaceae.
AUGGUCGUUCACAAGUCUUUGCAAAGGUUAAGACUUCACAUGGAUGCCGUCAACGAGAGAAACCAAAGAGAAGAAAACAAAAUUGCCAAUGAAAUAGGAGAAUGUUACCCCAUAAUGAGCAUCUCUAACGUUAAGGAGAUGACUGCAAUCAUAAAACUUCGAAAAUCAAAGAAAUGGAGAGGUUCUGUCAGCAUAAUUGCUGAGGUUACUGCAGAUGAACGGGAAAAGAUAAGGAAGCUUGCAAAAGCAAGCAACAUCGGAAUUAUUAAUGAUAAUGAAGCAAGCGGAUCAGGAAAAGGGGAAGGUGGAAGCAAGUCCGGAUCCGGUCAAGGUGAUGGAGGAAGUGAAAAUGGAUCGGAAGCCCCGCAAGGAGGAAAAGGAGGAGGAGGUGGAGGUGGAGGUACUAAAACCCGAUGCUAUGGGCUAUUUACUUGUUUUGGUUUCUAG